This 253-nucleotide ribosomal RNA is filed under the name uncultured bacterium. RNAcentral's name for it is "partial 16S ribosomal RNA". It matches the Rfam family "Bacterial small subunit ribosomal RNA", at positions 524 to 776 of the family's 1533-position model. The record is from RNAcentral.
UACAGAGGUCUCAAGCGUUUUUCGGAUUCAUUGGGCGUAAAGGGUGCGUAGGCGGCGCGGUAAGUCGGGUGUGAAAUUUCGAGGCUUAACUUCGAAACUGCAUUCGAUACUGCCGUGCUCGAGGGCUGGAGAGGAGACUGGAAUUUACGGUGUAGCGGUGAAAUGCGUAGAUAUCGUAAGGAAGACCAGUGGCGAAGGCGGGUCUCUGGACAGUUCCUGACGCUGAGGCACGAAGGCCAGGGGAGCAAACGGG